AAGAGAAGAGUCGGUCAAGAUAGCCAAGGAGACUGCCUGAAACCAAGUAAUUAGGGACCCUUUGAUGGCUAAAUGCACCUUAAUAUACUUAAGAUUCAAUAAUGCAACUUUAGAUCCCUAAAUUAACUCAAGGAGCAGGCAAGUCAUCCUUGGCUACCAAACCAAAACACCCUUUUCU
Molecule: non-coding RNA, 178 nt
Organism: Beta vulgaris subsp. vulgaris (sugar beet)
Lineage: Eukaryota; Viridiplantae; Streptophyta; Magnoliopsida; Caryophyllales; Amaranthaceae
Source: Rfam